GACGAACGCUGGCGGCGUGCCUAAUACAUGCAAGUUGAGCGCUGAGGGGUGGUACUUGUACCAACUGGAUGAGCAGCGAACGGGUGAGUAACGCGUGGGGAAUCUGCCUUUGAGCGGGGGACAACAUUUGGAAACGAAUGCUAAUACCGCAUAAAAACUUUAAACACAAGUUUUAAGUUUGAAAGAUGCAAUUGCAUCACUCAAAGAUGAUCCCGCGUUGGAUUAGCUAGUUGGUGAGGUAAAGGCUCACCAAGGCGAUGAUACGUAGCCGACCUGAGAGGGUGAUCGGCCACAUUGGGACUGAGACACGGCCCAAACCUCUACGGGAGGCAGCAGUAGGGAAUCUUCGGCAAUGGACGAAAGUCUGAACGAGCAACGCCGCGUGAGUGAAGAAGGUUUUCGGAUCGUAAAACUCUGUUGGUAGAGAAGAAAGUUGGUGAGAGUGGAAAGCUCACCAAGUGACGGUAACUACCCAGAAAGGGACGGCUAACUACGUG
Molecule: ribosomal RNA, 497 nt
Filed under: uncultured bacterium
Lineage: Bacteria
Description: partial 16S ribosomal RNA
Rfam family: Bacterial small subunit ribosomal RNA
Source: RNAcentral